This 295-nucleotide ribosomal RNA is filed under the name Klebsiella michiganensis. Its description in RNAcentral is "partial 23S ribosomal RNA". It matches the Rfam family "Bacterial large subunit ribosomal RNA", at positions 1919 to 2213 of the family's 2925-position model. The record is from RNAcentral. Lineage: Bacteria; Pseudomonadati; Pseudomonadota; Gammaproteobacteria; Enterobacterales; Enterobacteriaceae.
CCCGGUAAACGGCGGCCGUAACUAUAACGGUCCUAAGGUAGCGAAAUUCCUUGUCGGGUAAGUUCCGACCUGCACGAAUGGCGUAAUGAUGGCCAGGCUGUCUCCACCCGAGACUCAGUGAAAUUGAACUCGCUGUGAAGAUGCAGUGUACCCGCGGCAAGACGGAAAGACCCCGUGAACCUUUACUAUAGCUUGACACUGAACACUGGUCCUUGAUGUGUAGGAUAGGUGGGAGGCUUUGAAGUGUGGACGCCAGUCUGCAUGGAGCCAUCCUUGAAAUACCACCCUUUAAUGG